CUCGAAUACAUAGAUUUUGAGAACUGAUCAUUAGGUUUGUGAAUUUCACCCUAACUUUUGGCCAUUUUACAACAUGUUGACUCUUUCACCAAGAGUUUGGUGGGAAAAAGAGCGAGGGUUAAAAUUUGUUUUCUUUAAAUUAUCUCUAGAUUGAAAUCAUUCAGAUUCUCCUGGCUUCUUGUUAAGAAUGGAAGCCAAGAAUUAGCAACAGUGGAUAGUCAAUAGACUUGUCUUUCCACUAUAGUUAUUUAAUGAGCAGCAUCAACAAAAGGACAGUUUUAAAAAUAAGGACCUUACAAACUCAGUAAGUCACAGAUACAAGAUGAAAAGAAAGAAAGAAGCUUAAGAAAAGUAGGAAGACUUAAGAUAAAUGGAGCUCCCUGCUUGGCUGGGGCAGUUUCCUGGGCUGAACCACAGUUUCCAUCUCAGAUUCAAAUGCAUCCUGUUAAAGACCAUGGAUGAUUAGAUCAUAAAUCUGCAUGAGCUUGAAGAUGAUGAAGGAAAUGCUUCUCUGUAAAGUGAUCAUCAUGCUGCCAGUCCCAUCAUUUACACAUGUUUACAGAUUUAUCACCCAACCGUAAGACAUUUGACAUUCAAGUUGUAGAUGGAAAGAAAAGAAUGAAUCAAUAAAUCGAACUCAGAAUUAGAGAAAG
Molecule: long non-coding RNA, 653 nt
Filed under: Macaca mulatta (Rhesus monkey)
Lineage: Eukaryota; Metazoa; Chordata; Mammalia; Primates; Cercopithecidae
Description: lncRNA (ENSMMUG00000055010.1)
Source: RNAcentral